AUAUAUUAUCAAUGUUGAUUGAUAACUAUUUAAUCAAUAGUUCAAAAGAACAGCAUUUAUUUGAAAUUGAACUAACUGAACUAAUUUCUUUCACAAAAAAAAAAAAACCAACAAAAAAAAAAACCUAGUUGACUCCAAAUAUUUGAAUAGUAGUGUACUUUUGUAGUAUAGAAAAUUAUAGUCUUUUUUUUUAUCAAAACCUCAGGUUGCAUUGCAGGUAAACUGUUCUUGUUCUGCAAAUCACUUUAAAUAAGAACGCAUCUGCUAAAUGACAAAGAACCAAAGAACCUGUCAAGUGCUUCUUAUAUGGUUUAUACUCAAAGUAAAAGAGGAUUUAUAUUCCUCCUACCUGUUGAAAUCUGUGACCUGUCAUAUAUAACAUGGCUAAAAGUAUUAUUGUUGUUGUUUUUGUUGUUGUUGAUGAUGAUGUUGUUGAAGUUUAGUGAACUGUCCCUUCAGUAGUUUAUUUGCAGCCUUAUGGAAGCUAUAAUGUGGCCAAAGUAUCUUAAUGGAUUGUAUUUUCCUUAAGUCAUAUUGUUUAUACAGUUGUCUCCCUUAUUUAUGUAAGGGAGUAUGUUCUUGGCUACAUUAGUAUUUAUUAGUUUUAUUCCAGAACAUACGUUCAUUUGCCUUUAUGGGGUACAAAUAGUAAUAGUAAAUUAACUUUAAAUUAUUAAAUAAAUAUGUUAACAAGAUAAUGAUAGCCAAACUAUAAAGCAAAUCAAGUAUCUGAAAAGCAGUGUGUUGUAAAUGUGAAAUGUGUUGUAAGAUAUUGUUUAACAACAAGACAAUAUGCUGUUUUCAAGUAUAAAUGCAACAACUUUUUGUCAUGUCAUGUGACUGACUUUAUUAAUAUGCAGUAAGUGUAUUGGUCAAAGACUUUCAGUCUGACAUCUGCAGGAAAAAUACAGCAGAGGGCGCACCAGGACAUAAUUAUGACCACAAUUUUCUAAAACAUUUUCUGGAUGAUAUAGGACAGGGGUCUUCAAUGUGAUGAUCCCCAUGUUAAGGACCCCCUUUCUAAAAAAAUAAAUAAAUAAAGGCAGCUGUCCUAUGUAUUUCCAUGUUUUAAGAUUCAUUUAUACUGUCUGAGAAAAGGUGUCAUGCUGUAAAUACAGUACAACAUGUUGUCUGUAAAAUUAAAUAAUUAGCUCUUAUAUUGUCAGUCAGUCAGUCAGUCUUGCCCUAUUUAUUUAAAAUAAAUAAAUAUGAAUAAA
This is a long non-coding RNA of Cyprinus carpio carpio, 1217 nucleotides long. NCBI's taxonomy places the organism in Eukaryota, Metazoa, Chordata, Actinopteri, Cypriniformes, Cyprinidae. The record is from Ensembl.